RNAcentral lists this ribosomal RNA (433 nucleotides) under uncultured bacterium. RNAcentral describes it as "partial 16S ribosomal RNA". It matches the Rfam family "Bacterial small subunit ribosomal RNA", at positions 29 to 507 of the family's 1533-position model. The record is from RNAcentral.
AACGAACGCUGGCGGCAGGCCUAGCACAUGCAAGUCGAGCGCGCCCUUCGGGGUGAGCGGCGGACGGGUGAGUAACGCGUGGGAACGUGCCCUUCUCUGCGGAAUAGCCUCGGGAAGCUGAGAGUAAUACCGCAUACGCCCUUUGGGGGAAAGAUUUAUCGGCGGAGGAUCGGCCCGCGUUGGAUUAGGUAGUUGGUGGGGUAAAGGCCCACCAAGCCGACGAUCCAUAGCUGGUUUGAGAGGAUGCUCAGCCACACUGGGACUGAGACACGGCCCAGCCUCCUACGGGAGGCAGCAGUGGGGAAUCUUAGACAAUGGGGGCAACCCUGAUCUAGCCAUGCCGCGUGAGUGAUGAAGGCCUUAGGGUUGUAAAGCUCUUUCAGCUGGGAAGAUAAUGACGGUACCAGCAGAAGAAGCCCCGGCUAACUCCGUG